GACGAACGCUGGCGGCGUGCCUAAUACAUGCAAGUCGAACGCACAGUUUAUACCGUAGCUUGCUACACCAUAGACUGUGAGUUGCGAACGGGUGAGUAACGCGUAGGUAACCUACCUGGUAGCGGGGGAUAACUAUUGGAAACGAUAGCUAAUACCGCAUAAUAUUGAUUAUUGCAUGAUAAUUGAUUGAAAGAUGCUAUUGCAUCACUACCAGAUGGACCUGCGUUGUAUUAGCUAGUAGGUGAGGUAACGGCUCACCUAGGCGACGAUACAUAGCCGACCUGAGAGGGUGAUCGGCCACACUGGGACUGAGACACGGCCCAGACUCCUACGGGAGGCAGCAGUAGGGAAUCUUCGGCAAUGGACGAAAGUCUGACCGAGCAACGCCGCGGGAGUGAAGAAGGUUUUCGGAUCGUAAAGCUCUGUUGUAAGAGAAGAACGGGUGUGAGAGUGGAAAGUUCACACUGUGACGGUAUCUUACCAGAAAGGGACGGCUAACUACGUG
This 505-nucleotide ribosomal RNA is filed under the name uncultured bacterium. RNAcentral's name for it is "partial 16S ribosomal RNA". It matches the Rfam family "Bacterial small subunit ribosomal RNA", at positions 28 to 507 of the family's 1533-position model. The record is from RNAcentral.